GCCGCGGUUACGUCUUUGACACUUAGCGUUUAAUUGUCAACACGUGCGAGUCGUUUUCUAAAGAAUUGUCAAUUACAUAUGCGAUUAAUUGGAAUUAUCGACACUAUUAUUUGGUAUCCAUGGUAAAAGAACGACAUGUAAAGUAUCUUCGUAAAACUAACUUUGAUGGAUGAAUUGAUUUGAAUACCGAGCAAACUUCUAGGCAUGUAACACACUGGCUAUUCGGGUACCUACUCGUGUGAGCGAUACCGCCCUCGUGUGAUUAAUGUACAUGUUGGUGAACAGGAAAUUCACACCUAUAACAGUACAGCGGAUACCGUCCUCGUUAUUGAAAUGAACAUUACACACUGGUUAUUCGGGUACCUACUCGUGUGAGCGAUACCGCCCUCGUGUGAUUAAUGUACAUGUUGGUGAACAGCAAUUCACACCUAUAACAGAAAUAACACUAACUCCCGUAAUGGUCAAGGUCAGAGAGGAAGAGGUCAAGGUCAACAUGGAAACGCGUGGAGAGGUCGUGGUCAUGGAAACAGACAUAGCUAGGUUUCCAUUGGGUUUUGGAAUGUCAACGGUUUUAGUACAAAAACAGACAGUGACAAUUUCUCUUUGAGAUAUGAUUAUAUAAAACAUCUGGAUUUUGACAUUUUAGGCAUAGCUGAGACACAUUUAAUAGAUAAUAAUGUAUUAAAUUUACCAGGAUAUGUCUGGUUUGGAAAUAAUAGGAAACUAAUUCAUGUAAAUGCGAGAACAGGGUCUGGUGGUGUUGGU
This is a long non-coding RNA of Mercenaria mercenaria, 765 nucleotides long. RefSeq lists it as uncharacterized. The transcript is spliced from 4 exons. The record is from RefSeq and is a predicted model, not a curated record. NCBI's taxonomy places the organism in Eukaryota, Metazoa, Mollusca, Bivalvia, Venerida, Veneridae.